This is a long non-coding RNA of Felis catus (domestic cat), 1057 nucleotides long. RefSeq lists it as uncharacterized. The transcript is spliced from 3 exons. NCBI's taxonomy places the organism in Eukaryota, Metazoa, Chordata, Mammalia, Carnivora, Felidae. The record is from RefSeq and is a predicted model, not a curated record.
CUAGAAACUGAUCUGAGGAUUAACACAACAAUCUGCACAACCUGAACCACAGAAUUCAGCAGUCUCUCUGACAGCUAUGACUCAGUUUCUUUGGGUAAGAAGAGAAUGGCAACAUCAGCAACAACCUCACAACGCUGCUGUGAGAAUUAAAUGUGGGAACCUGUGGAAAGCCCUCGACACAGUUUCUGGCACAGAUUUGCCAGAGUUAUGCUAUCAUGGAUUACUCGGCCAGUGUUGUCAACUCCUUUGACCUAAAAUGCAAAGUGAAGAAAUGUGAGAUGGAGAUGAUAAAGAAGAACAUUACCAAGAAGAGGAACGGUGUUGAUUGCCCCUGACCUUUAGUGACUCACAUGGAAGUAUCUUUAUGCAUAUGGGAUAUGCAUGAACGUUUAAAAGUACUGGGUCUUCAAAACUAGCCUUCGUAGGACUUCACACAGGGCCAGCUGAUGUCUGGCAGGUUAGACUCUUGCCAAACUCUCUUCCUUGGAAAGCAGACCACCCCGUUCACACGUUUCACCAUUGUAUGGAUGCUUUGACAAACUGGGUUGCAAAGAUUCAGAGAAGAGUGGGUGAUAUCCUUACCCUGCCUCUUGACCUAACAUGGGCACGAUUUGCCUGGCCCUCUCUGGAGGUCUGACUCCGUGAUCUAAGCUGCGGCAAAGAUGGCAUUACAAACCCCAGGGAUUGCUGAGAAGCGCUAAUGCUGCCUCUAUCCCAUACUCCCGUGACUCUGAAAGGCUCUUAUUUGCUCCCCCUUGCUGAGAAGGCAGCUGUGUUGUGGCGAUAUCGGUCCAUCCGACUUUACAGCAGCCUGCGAGGCCUCCUGUGACAUGGAAUAAUGUCCCAGAAAUCCAAACCGCCAGCGAGGCGCAGAGAUCAGCACGGCAUUUGUGGUUCUUGGGGCCGGACCCGAGGUCCGCCUGGGACAUCUCCAUGUAAAUGAAUGCUGGGGACAGGAUUUGGACAGCUUAAUCCUGCAUUGUAAGAAAGGCUGGAGCCAAUGUAAGUUCCAGACACGCUUUCAUUCAGAACUGGAAUAAAAUUUGACUAUCUUCAA